This 458-nucleotide unclassified non-coding RNA is filed under the name Hevea brasiliensis (rubber tree). The record is from RNAcentral. Lineage: Eukaryota; Viridiplantae; Streptophyta; Magnoliopsida; Malpighiales; Euphorbiaceae.
AAUCUUACAAUUCUCAAUUCGAUUUGAUUUCCCAUCCCAGCAAUUCGAAUCUAGGGAGCGAAUCGCAAAUGCAAUUGAAUCACGACCAAAUCUUAUGAUUCGAUAGUGAAUUGAGUGAAUCUACACGAAUCAACCAAUUUGGUUGAUUCUUUUUCUAAAAGGUUGUUAGACCCUAAGCUUUAAAAUUUAAGAUCUCACUUUAUUUUCACUAUGAAAAGUGCAAAUAAAAUCUUCUCCUAACUAUUUUUCUUCUACGGGCCAUUAUUUCCCUCUCCCUUUCUUUCUUUUUCUUUUUUUAUUCUUAUAUCUUAACAUCCUUGACUAUGAUUUGAUAUGAUUUGUAGCCAUUUCCUUUUUGUUCUGUUUUAAUAUGACGGAUUCCAACUUAUAGACUAGCUUCCUUUUUUUUUCCCCCUAUCUUUUAAGUUAUUACUGGAUACUGGAUGGCUACCUGUGUG